GUUGCUCGAUCAGGACCUUAGCUUUAUUGCGAGCCCAGAAGUCU
Molecule: small RNA, 44 nt
Filed under: Arabidopsis thaliana (thale cress)
Lineage: Eukaryota; Viridiplantae; Streptophyta; Magnoliopsida; Brassicales; Brassicaceae
Source: RNAcentral